UUACUGUGAUGAAAAGUUUUCACCAGAACAUUACUUGAAGCAUAAAAAGACGCAGCUUUUUAUGAUUGAUUUAGA
Molecule: small nucleolar RNA, 75 nt
Organism: Raphanus sativus (radish)
Lineage: Eukaryota; Viridiplantae; Streptophyta; Magnoliopsida; Brassicales; Brassicaceae
Source: RefSeq, a predicted model, not a curated record